RNAcentral lists this ribosomal RNA (763 nucleotides) under uncultured Streptococcus sp. RNAcentral's name for it is "bacterial SSU rRNA". It matches the Rfam family "Bacterial small subunit ribosomal RNA", at positions 28 to 776 of the family's 1533-position model. Lineage: Bacteria; Bacillati; Bacillota; Bacilli; Lactobacillales; Streptococcaceae. The record is from RNAcentral.
GACGAACGCUGGCGGCGUGCCUAAUACAUGCAAGUAGAACGCUGAAGGAGGAGCUUGCUCUUCUGGAUGAGUUGCGAACGGGUGAGUAACGCGUAGGUAACCUGCCUGGUAGCGGGGGAUAACUAUUGGAAACGAUAGCUAAUACCGCAUAACAGUAGAUGUUGCAUGACAUUUACUUAAAAGGUGCAAUUGCAUCACUACCAGAUGGACCUGCGUUGUAUUAGCUAGUUGGUGGGGUAACGGCUCACCAAGGCGACGAUACAUAGCCGACCUGAGAGGGUGAUCGGCCACACUGGGACUGAGACACGGCCCAGACUCCUACGGGAGGCAGCAGUAGGGAAUCUUCGGCAAUGGACGGAAGUCUGACCGAGCAACGCCGCGUGAGUGAAGAAGGUUUUCGGAUCGUAAAGCUCUGUUGUAAGAGAAGAACGAGUGUGAGAGUGGAAAGUUCACACUGUGACGGUAUCUUACCAGAAAGGGACGGCUAACUACGUGCCAGCAGCCGCGGUAAUACGUAGGUCCCGAGCGUUGUCCGGAUUUAUUGGGCGUAAAGCGAGCGCAGGCGGUUAGAUAAGUCUGAAGUUAAAGGCUGUGGCUUAACCAUAGUACGCUUUGGAAACUGUUUAACUUGAGUGCAAGAGGGGAGAGUGGAAUUCCAUGUGUAGCGGUGAAAUGCGUAGAUAUAUGGAGGAACAUCGGUGGCGAAAGCGGCUCUCUGGCUUGUAACUGACGCUGAGGCUCGAAAGCGUGGGGAGCAAACAGG